RNAcentral lists this transfer RNA (73 nucleotides) under Amphimedon compressa (erect rope sponge). RNAcentral describes it as "tRNA-Val". It matches the Rfam family "tRNA". Rfam says of the family: Transfer RNA (tRNA) molecules are approximately 80 nucleotides in length. Their secondary structure includes four short double-helical elements and three loops (D, anti-codon, and T loops). Lineage: Eukaryota; Metazoa; Porifera; Demospongiae; Haplosclerida; Niphatidae. The record is from RNAcentral.
UGGUGUUUAACUCAGUAGGUAGAGUAUUGUGCUUACACCGCGGAGGUCGAAGGUUCAAAUCCUUCAACACCAA